UGAUUUGACUCGGGGUGUCAUUUGCAAUUUGGUUUUGCUAAUGGCUGAGAAUUUACCCGUUGAACCUGAUCUGGGCUCAUACCAGCGUAGGGAAGUCUCCGCUUUCUAGU
This 110-nucleotide non-coding RNA is filed under the name Frischella perrara. Its description in RNAcentral is "TPP sequence". It matches the Rfam family "TPP riboswitch aptamer (THI element)". Rfam says of the family: Vitamin B(1) in its active form thiamin pyrophosphate (TPP) is an essential coenzyme that is synthesised by coupling of pyrimidine and thiazole moieties in bacteria. The previously detected thiamin-regulatory element, thi box was extended, resulting in a new, highly conserved RNA secondary structure, the THI element, which is widely distributed in eubacteria and also occurs in some archaea. Lineage: Bacteria; Pseudomonadati; Pseudomonadota; Gammaproteobacteria; Orbales; Orbaceae. The record is from Rfam by way of RNAcentral.